RNA transcript from Gastrolobium bilobum, 2622 nucleotides. It is a transcript of the gene named probable disease resistance protein At1g61310, with no coding region annotated. The record is from RefSeq and is a predicted model, not a curated record. The transcript is spliced from 3 exons. Lineage: Eukaryota; Viridiplantae; Streptophyta; Magnoliopsida; Fabales; Fabaceae.
AAAGGGAACGAAAGACUAGCAAAGGAGUGGAUUAUAAGAAUGAGGCCAAGACUUGCAGUUUUGAAUGAAUGCAUUUACAUAUUCAAUGGAUCGCUGCUGGAGAUUGAAGAGUUCAAAAUUCUUAACUAUGUGCUGAACAAUGAGGGAAAGAAGAUGCAUCCGGUUCACACUCAAGAGAAGUUCACACUCAAGAGAAGCAAUAAAAUACAUGGAGUGGAAGGACUGUGCAUAAUUUAGAGAGAGUGUUUUAAACAUGGAGCCAAAAUUACUUUGAACCAACAUGAAGAACCGUUUCAGUAAAGUUUGGGUUUUGGAUUUCUCAUCCAUCACUGUCGACGUCAUCCACUAGUUUAAGAAAAUAACGUGCGCCAGUAAAACUGUAGACAUGGAAUAUGUUCUCCAAAUAUCAAAGUGGACAAUUUCAAAACAGGUAUAAGACCAUUGACCGACCCAUUACUCGAGUGAGUAUAGUAUGUAUUCUGGGUUUUUUUUAUCAUUUACAUGAGUAUAAAAUCCAGAUACUCGAGUAUAUUCUGUUCUAUGCAAUAUACUCGAGGAAAUGUUCAAAAAAUUUUCUACGGCAAUUUUUCAACGUGUAGCUCUUUUAAAGUUAUGUGAAAUAAAAAAACACUUUAUUCGAAUGCCCGAGUCAAAAGUAAUGAUCUUUCGAAGUUUUAUUGUAAAAUUUCUAAAAUUUUAUAAUAUCAAUAGGUUUUGUGAUACCCAUAAAGCUCUCUUCUGGUUACUCGAGUCAAGUCCACAAUAUUAUGAGUAUAUGACUAUAGAUACUUGUUCGAUCAAAAAAAUAUUGUGGAAAAAAAUUUAACCGUAAAACUUUGGAACACUAUAUUUUUUGGACCAAACAAGUUUCUAUUGUCAUAUACUUAUAAUAUUGUACUUGACACGAACAACCUGAGUAAGCUUUAUGAAUAUCACAAAAAUCUAUUUCCAUUAUAAAAUUUUGGAAAUUUUACAGUAAAACUUCAUAAGGGAUUUGGUCCAAUUUUUUUUUUUCCAAAAAAUGUUUUUUUGUGUCCCGUUUGAUAUAUUUUAUCUUUGCGAAUGAUAUUAUUUGAAUUUUUAUUUUCCAACAAUAACAAUAAUCCUCCGAGAAUUUGUCAACGCAUAGCUCUCAAAAAGUUAUGUGGAAUAAAAAAAAUACCUAAUUCAGAUAUCUAAGUUAAAAGUUAUGGCCUAAUCUGGUCACCUGAUUCACAAGUUUUUACGGUUAAAUUUUUUUCACAAGACUUUUUGGAUUAAACAAGUUUCUAUAGUCAUAUACUCAUAAUAUUAUGAACUUGACUCGGGUAACCUGAUAGGGAGCUUUGUGGGUAUCACAAAACCUAUUAGCAUUACAAAAUUUUGAAAAUUUUAAAGUAAAACUUCAAAAGGCUAUAACUUUUGACUCAAGGGUCCGAAUCAAGUGAUUUUUUUUAUUCCACUUAAUUUUUCGAGAGCUACGUGUUGAAAAAUUCCUGGAGGAAAGUUUUAGUAAAUGACCCAUAUACUCGAGUAUAUUGCGUGCAACAAUAAAUAUUUGAGUAUCUGGGUCCUAUACUCUAGUAAAUGUUAAAAAAAAUCUCAUAAUACGAAAUGUACUCGAGUAUAAUGUCAUGUACUUAAAAAUAUAUGGGUCGCUCAACAAUCGAAGAGGGACAAAUCUGUGAAAUAUUUUGGAACAAGGAUAAAGUAGUACUUAUUUUGGUCAAAAGGACACAAUAGUCAAAAAGCGAGGAACCUUUAAAAUGCAAUCUCCAGUUUGUGUUAUCUUAAAGACGGAGGAUAUUCUUACUACCAAAAUUUUCUACUACUAACUUACUACAUAUCUAAUCACCAUUGAAUCAAAGAGAGAGAAUGCUAAAAAGUUUUUGAAAAAAGAGAAAAUAUUGAUCCAAUGGUAAUUAGAUAGGUAGUGAGUUAGUAGUAAAAAAAUUUAGUAGUAAGAAUAUCCCUCCCCUAUCUUAAAAGCAAACAGAGACCUACAUGCAAGCAACAUAUAAAGAAGUAAUGACAUAAAAGUUUAUGGGAAAAGUGUGUGUCAUUUUAAAGGAUGUAAAGUUGUGUCAUUUUAAGAGAGAGAAAGAGAUAGAUAAACGAAGAGAGAGUUGACAAAAAAAAUAAAGGCGUGGGUCCUACCUCUUUGUGAGAGUGAAAGAAUAUAAGUUGUGUCAUUUAAAAGGAUAAACAUUUUUCCCAAAAUAAAAAAAAUAUAUAAGACAAACAGAAAAAAUGCUUCAAUGUUCCAUUUUGUGUUAUGAAGAAUCUAACCCUCAAACAACUGAUCCUAAAUUAACUGUUAAUAUUUUGUCAAUUAAUACCAAGUCUUUUAUCAAAGAAAAACAAGGUCAUUUGCAGCAACAAUAUUCUUACAAAAUCCCAAUUGAAAGCAAUGAUGAAAUCCUAGAACCAGCUUUCUGCUCCAACCACGGCAAAAAAUUGUCACAAUUGUCGACCAAGUGGCCAUAAACCUAGUACUAAGUCGCGUUUGGGUGAGAAGGAAAUGAUUAAGAAUAAGGGAAGAAAGUAAAUUAAAAAUAUGGUAUUUGAGAGAGAAUUUUUAGAGGGGAGAAAUAGGUAAAGAGUUUUCGAACCUGGUAUCGGGCUAAAGAAUAGAACUUGAGG